This 253-nucleotide ribosomal RNA is filed under the name uncultured bacterium. Its description in RNAcentral is "partial 16S ribosomal RNA". It matches the Rfam family "Bacterial small subunit ribosomal RNA", at positions 524 to 776 of the family's 1533-position model. The record is from RNAcentral.
AACGUAGGAGACGAACGUUAUCCGGAGUUACUGGGCGUAAAGGGCGUGCAGGCGGUCUGAUAAGUUCGGCGUGAAAUAUUCCGGCUUAACCGGGAUAGGUCGUCGGAGACUGUCGGACUAGAGGGUGAUAGAGGCGUGUGGAAUUCCGGGUGGAGUGGUGAAAUGCGUAGAGAUCCGGAGGAACACCAAAGGCGAAGGCAGUGUCCUGGGGAGUACCUGACGCUCAGGUGCGAAAGCCAGGGGAGCGAACGGG